AGAACGAACGCUGGCGGCAUGCCUAAUACAUGCAAGUCGAACGAACACUUCGGUGUUAGUGGCGCACGGGUGCGUAACGCGUGGGAAUCUGCCCUUGGGUUCGGAAUAACAGUUGGAAACGACUGCUAAUACCGGAUGAUAUCGAAAGAUCAAAGAUUUAUCGCCCAGGGAUGAGCCCGCGUAGGAUUAGCUAGUUGGUGAGGUAAAGGCUCACCAAGGCGACGAUCCUUAGCUGGUCUGAGAGGAUGAUCAGCCACACUGGGACUGAGACACGGCCCAGACCUCCGUACGGGAGCAGCGAGGUAGGGAAUAGUUGGACAAGUGGGCACGAAGCCUAGACUACCGAGAC
This 349-nucleotide ribosomal RNA is filed under the name uncultured soil bacterium. Its description in RNAcentral is "bacterial SSU rRNA". It matches the Rfam family "Bacterial small subunit ribosomal RNA", at positions 26 to 397 of the family's 1533-position model. The record is from RNAcentral.